GACGAACCGUGCAAACGUUGUUCGGAAUCACUGGGCUUAAAGGGCGCGUAGGCGGCUUGCCAAGUCGGGGGUGAAAUCCAGCAGCUUAACUGUUGAAGUGCCUUCGAUACUGGCGAGCUAGAGGAAGGUAGGGGUGUGUGGAACUUCUGGUGGAGCGGUGAAAUGCGUUGAUAUCAGAAGGAACGCCGGUGGCGAAAGCGACGCACUGGACCUUUUCUGACGCUGAGGCGCGAAAGCUAGGGUAGCGAACGGG
Molecule: ribosomal RNA, 253 nt
Filed under: uncultured bacterium
Lineage: Bacteria
Description: partial 16S ribosomal RNA
Rfam family: Bacterial small subunit ribosomal RNA
Source: RNAcentral